AAAUGAAUUGACGGGGACCCGCACAAGCAGAGGAGGAUGUGGUUUAAUUCGAAGCUAAGCGAAGAACCUUACCGAGGCUUGACAUCUCUGGAAUUUUGGCGAAAGCCGAAAGUGCCUUCGGGAACCAGAUGACAGAUGCUGCAUGGCCGUCGUCAGCUCGUGUCGUGAGAUGUUGGGUUAAGUCCCGCAACGAGCGCAACCCUCGUCGUCAGUUGUAUUUUCUGGCGAGACCGCCCGGGCCAACCGGGAGGAAGGUGGGGAUGACGUCUGGUCAGCAUGGCUCUUACGCCUCGGGCUACACACGUCCUACAAUGGCCACUACAACGCGCUGCCAAACCGUAAGGUGGAGCAAAUCGCAUCAAAAGUGGUCUCAGUUCGGAUUGAGGGCUGAAACUCGCCCUCAUGAAGCUGGAUUUGCUAGUAAUGGCAGGUCAGCCAUACUGCCGUGAAUACGUUCCCGGGUCUUGUACACACCGCCCGU
RNAcentral lists this ribosomal RNA (481 nucleotides) under uncultured bacterium. RNAcentral describes it as "bacterial SSU rRNA". It matches the Rfam family "Bacterial small subunit ribosomal RNA", at positions 903 to 1397 of the family's 1533-position model. The record is from RNAcentral.